CUCCCCCCGCCGCGCUUCAGGGACAUGGAGACCAGGGGGCUCUCCGAGGCCAGGGGCCCUGUUCUGCUUCAGGGUGCAGGCGCAUGCGGGGAGCUGACCGCCUGCCCGACCCCACAGCAUCCGCUGCCCGUGUCCCUGGGAAGGUCCCCACAUCUGAGCGAGGCCCGAGGCCCUGAGGGGUGCUCAACCUCUCCUUGCACACCUCUACUGAUGGAGAGCUCACCACUUCCCAAGACAGCCCUUUGUGGAAGCUAGACUUUGGAAUUAGAGCCCUGGACUGGACACUCGGAUCAGCGUAGGACCCUGGAGAAGCCACUUCGCUCCUAUAAGGCUACUGAAGCUCAGAGAGAGGGAGAGACGAGCAAGUGGCAGAGCUUCAGCAGUCUGACUCAGAUAUCCCCACUGUGUCUACUCUGCCUCCAUCUGCCCUCUGCCUGGCUGACUAAGGGACUUCCCGGCUCGUGCUUCUCAGAAGGCUCCUUCUGGAUGGAGGGGCAGUGGAGGGCAUCCCCUACUAUGUGCAGAGAGCAGAUACACAGCAGCAGGAUGACGUGUCUAAACGGUCAUUUGCG
Molecule: long non-coding RNA, 572 nt
Filed under: Equus caballus (horse)
Lineage: Eukaryota; Metazoa; Chordata; Mammalia; Perissodactyla; Equidae
Description: lncRNA (ENSECAG00000055290.1)
Source: RNAcentral